GUACGUGGGGCUUUGAACAAGAUUAUCCUUUCGAUCUUAUGCCCGGUAUUUUUGUUGAAUUACAUUGACACAAGAUUUUACAUGUUUUACCAUGAAUUGGAAAUAUGGUUUUAUGUCUUAUAUUAUUAUCAAAGAGCUAUGGGAUUAUGUUAUCUGAUAUGUGCAUGAUAUUGAGGUGGAAUUAUGUCCAAAAAGUAUUUGAUUAUGAGGGUAUGAUGAUUUAAUUUGUUAAGCCUUGAUUUAUACUAUCAUUCC
This 255-nucleotide long non-coding RNA is filed under the name Capsicum annuum. RNAcentral describes it as "long non-coding RNA (CANN_LNC017534)". Lineage: Eukaryota; Viridiplantae; Streptophyta; Magnoliopsida; Solanales; Solanaceae. The record is from RNAcentral.